GCUGUCCCGUUGCUGAGUGUAAUUAGUUCUACUACUACUACUACACAUCCGUACCUCGAUGGGAGUCGACUACUAGUCGAUCAACGAGUCAGUGGCGGGCUAGGUAGCCCAGAUGGACAUGCCACUCCUUCUACAGGUGCCGCCGCCCGCGACGAAACAACGAUCGGCGGCGGCAGCAGACGAGGAGCCGCCUGCCGCUCUCGCUCCGAGCGGCAGCGCGUCAGGGGCGGCACAUGCACAAGCCGCUGAGGGAGCACCUGCAGCCGUUGUUGCUGAAGGACGGCGGCGGCCGCGGGUCCCGCCCAAGGGGGACGCCGCAGCUGGACGGCGCGCGCUAGGGGCCGCCUGCCUGGCCCUCCAAGUGGUUGCCGAUGUUGGACCGGCUGUAGUAGCGUGUUGCACACCCCAAACUGUACUCGGGCAAUCGAAUGGAGAGGAACUGUGGCGUUCGCUCGGAGCUGGAGGACUCGUCGGUGCAACCCCGGUUAAUACGAAGGCCACCUAGUCCUUAGGAACUGCUGUGACCCUUGCCGUGCUAGUGCGAGGCUCUUGUCCAGUUCUACAAACGACUGUGGUUCCGCUGGUACUAGUUCCGGUUGUUCGACCCUUUAUUAUCCCAGUUAGCGAACGACAGGGUCAGGGAUAAGGAGUAGUCGUGACGUCCGUUGCUGAAGAACCGCAAACCACUGCCAUCCCGUUGGUCUUCACUACGUAGCCGGAUGUAGCGGUUUUACCAGUGGUGGAUGGAGUUCGUGUAGUUCCUCAACAUGUCCGACCCCCGUGCCUCCGAUCCUGACGACCUGCGCGACGGGUAGCCUACGAACGGCCCGACGUCUUGAAGGAAACCUGUACUACUGCGCACGCUGCGGCGACGGUUGAGAGACCGGGCCGCCAAGUUGCGGGAUGAGGCCGAACUUUACCGGUCGCGGUUCCGUCGAAGCUACGGUCCGUACCUCAUGAGGUAGCGGUCGUAAAUGCCGUAGAAGAGGCUGUACUAGUGGUUGGGCCUCGACCUGUUGUCAAUCAAGAGAAACGUACUGAGAGCUACGUUGUUCCCAGUUAAAGAAGUUUUAAAGAUAAUGUUCCAGACCUUUUGGUUUUAAUGAGGGAGGCAGGGUAUUAUAUUCUUGUAAAAACUGUGAUCAUUUGCGAGAAUAUAAUACCCUGCCUCCCUCAUAUAACAUCAUCUUACCUUUGUAAGCCGAUUAGAUAUGUGCCAAUGGAGACUCCGUGGUUAGCUAAUGACCUUGUACUUGACAACCUAGCCAUAGUAGUCCUGACGUCCUCCGCUGCUCACGCACGACGCCUCCUCCCUCCGAGUUGCGCCUCGAGCUGACGAGCCGCUCGAGUUUGGAAACGUGGCUGGCGCUGCCCAUGCACAAGACCCUGUUCCAGGUGCCCUGCGUCCGACGGAUGGUCGCUCGGCAACGGCGGUACAAGCUGCCGCGCCGCCACUGUUUCAAGUGCCUCGGGCAGUCGAAGCCCGUCAACUAGUGGCCCUUUGUCCGUCGCGGCCAACGGCACAAUCUAUUUGACCUCGCAGGCAUGCACCUAGACCUCCGACUCUAGAUCGGUUCCCUUCCCUUAAGCCUCCUAAGAAAACGUCACAAGCCACAUCAUGUAGAAGUUGGGGAGACCCCUAACAUACACGCAUGCAGGUGGUUUGAUGGGGCGCGGAGCUAUAAGGGAGUGAAUACAGAGAACGUAAUUGAAUUAGUUUAGUUUAGAACAUUUUGGAGUUGAUUUAGUUUUGAAAAGGCUAGAAAGAAAUGUGUAUAAGUUUAGUUUAGGUACCAGUUCUUGACUCCGUUCCACUGAGGUGGUAGGGACGAAAAACAGGAGCGGUAACUGGGAGACGUCGUCUAGGAGCUACAACGGUACCUUGUACUGAAAAACAUGUUCUAAUCUCCCUCCCACUGGG
RNAcentral lists this ribosomal RNA (1921 nucleotides) under Triticum aestivum (bread wheat). RNAcentral's name for it is "partial small subunit ribosomal RNA". The record is from RNAcentral. Lineage: Eukaryota; Viridiplantae; Streptophyta; Magnoliopsida; Poales; Poaceae.